UACGAAGGGGGCUAGCGUUGCUCGGAAUCACUGGGCGUAAAGGGCGCGUAGGCGGACUCUUAAGUCAGGGGCGAAAGCCUGAGGCUCAACCUCAGAACUGCCUUUGAUACUGAGAGUCUCGAGACCGGUAGAGGUAAGUGGAACUGCGAGUGUAGAGGUGAAAUUCGUAGAUAUUCGCAAGAACACCAGUGGCGAAGGCGGCUUACUGGACCGGUUCUGACGCUGAGGCGCGAAAGCGUGGGGAGCAAACAGG
This 253-nucleotide ribosomal RNA is filed under the name uncultured bacterium. RNAcentral's name for it is "partial 16S ribosomal RNA". It matches the Rfam family "Bacterial small subunit ribosomal RNA", at positions 524 to 776 of the family's 1533-position model. The record is from RNAcentral.